This is a long non-coding RNA of Amblyraja radiata (thorny skate), 695 nucleotides long. RefSeq lists it as uncharacterized. Lineage: Eukaryota; Metazoa; Chordata; Chondrichthyes; Rajiformes; Rajidae. The transcript is spliced from 3 exons. The record is from RefSeq and is a predicted model, not a curated record.
GCCUCAACUACUUCCUCCGACAGCUUGUUCCGUACACCCACCCACCCUUUGUGUGAAAAGGUUACCUCUCAGUUCCUAUUAAAUCUUUCCCCUCUCACCAUAAAUCAACUUUAGCAAUUACAUUAAAUAGCACAAAAUCAUCAUCAUUAAAUAAAAUGGCACACUUGCUACAUCUAAUGACAAAUAUAAUCAAAAGACCGUGAAAUAAUUACAAAAGCUUAAGAAGUGGAGCCUUGUUCUAACAGUUGCAAAGGUGCUUGUUAGUUACUGAGGGUUGUUUAGGCUCCAAAGACUGACUAACAGUUGAUUGUGCACUGGGUUACUAUUGUAGAUCUGGUUCAUUCCAAUUACUAUUUGAAGGCUUUUGAACUUCAUCACUGAUUGAUGCAAAGUUUGUGUUCUUCUUACAGACUCUCUCCCUCCCGAAUGGAGCUGCCCAAAAUAUAAUUACUUCCUUCACAAUGACCUUAUCCUGAUUUAUCUUAUCUACCAAGUGUGAAUAUUCCACUGCUUCCAAAUUGCAACUGGCUAUAUUUUAGGUAUAUACUUUUAAAGAUAAUCAACACAUUUUGAAAUGAUGAAAAGGAAAAUAAUGCACAUCUGUGGAGAGGGGAUCAAGGUUAACAACUGCGGUCAAUAGCUUUGUAUGAUACCGACCUUAUGAUACAGGAAACAAUGGAUCAUAACAAUGUGUA